UUGAUCCUGGCUCAGCUUGAACGCUGGUUGGCAUGGCUAAAACAUGCAAGUCGAACGCGAAAUCAUCUUCGGAUGAGAUUAGAGUGGCGAACUGGCGAGUAAUGCGUUCCUAACGUGCCCUAAGGUCAGGGAUAGCUCGGGGAAACCCGGGGUAAUACCUGAUAAUCCCUUCUCGUCGCAUGGCGAGUUGGGCAAAGGCUUGCUGCCUUGGGAUCAGGGGAACGUGCUAUCAGGUUGUUGGUAGGGUAAUGGCCUACCAAGCCUUAGACGGCUAGCGGGUGUGAGAGCAUGACCCGCCGCAUCGGGACUGAGACACUGCCCGGACUCCUACGGGAGGCUGCAGUAACGGAUAUUCCGCAAUGCGCGAAAGCGUGACGGAGCAAUGCCGCGUGGAGGAUGAAGCAUUUCGGUGUGUAAACUCCUGUCAGGGUUUAGGAAUUUUGACCAAACCCAAAGGAAGGACCGGCUAACUUCGUGCCAGCAGCCGCGGUAAUACGAAGGGUCCUAGCGUUAAGCGAAUUCACUGGGCUUAAAGGGUGCGCAGGCGGGAACGUAAGUGCUUUGUGAAAUCCCACAGCUCAACUGUGGAAGUGCUUGGCAUACUGCGUUUCUUGAGGUCGGUAGAGGUUGCCGGAACUGUAGGUGUAGCGGUGAAAUGCGUAGAUAUCUACAGGAACACCAAAGACGAAGGUAGGCAACUGGGCCGAUUCUGACGCUCAGGCACGAAAGCGUGGGUAGCGAACAGGAUUAGAUACCCUGGUAGUCCACGCCGUAAACGUUGUGCACUAGAUACGGGAGGUACUGAAACCAUCCGUGUCGCAGUAAAAACAUUAAGUGCACCGCCUGGGGAGUACGGUCGCAAGGCUAAAACUCAAAGGAAUUGACGGGGGCUCACACAAGCGGUGGAGCAUGUGGCUUAAUUCGAAGCAACGCGAAGAACCUUAUCCUGGGUUUGACAUGUUUGGAUUAGUUUAUCGAAAGAUAAAUGACGCGGAUUUCCGUGGAACUUACACAGGUGCUGCAUGGCUGUCGUCAGCUCGUGCUGUGAAGUGUUGGGUUAAGUCCCUUAACGAGCGAAACCCCUACCGCUAGUUGCCAGCAUUUAGUUGGGGACUCUAGCGGGACUGCCGGUGUCAAACCGGAGGAAGGUGGGGAUGACGUCAAGUCCUCAUGGCCUUUAUGCCCAGGGCUGCACACGUGCUACAAUGGCAAUUACAAAGCGAAGCGAAACCGCGAGGUAGAGCAAAUCGCAAAAAAAUUGCCCCAGUUCGGAUUGGAGUCUGCAACUCGACUCCAUGAAGGUGGAAUCGCUAGUAAUCGCGUAUCAGCUACGACGCGGUGAUACGUUCCUGAGCCUUGUACACACCGCCCGUCAAGUCAUGGAAGCCGGAGUACCCGAAGUCGCACUACUUCAAGUGUGCCGACGGUAAGCUCGGUGACUGGGACUAAGUCGUA
This 1455-nucleotide ribosomal RNA is filed under the name uncultured organism. Its description in RNAcentral is "bacterial SSU rRNA". It matches the Rfam family "Bacterial small subunit ribosomal RNA". The record is from RNAcentral.